Carassius gibelio (silver crucian carp) is the source of this 1867-nucleotide long non-coding RNA. RefSeq lists it as uncharacterized. Lineage: Eukaryota; Metazoa; Chordata; Actinopteri; Cypriniformes; Cyprinidae. The record is from RefSeq and is a predicted model, not a curated record. The transcript is spliced from 2 exons.
AUAUAUAUAUAUAUAUAUAUAUAUGUCACAAGGUGAUGAUCUUUAGGGGCGGAACCAAAAUUCGGGAAGUUUGGUUCCGCCCGGAAGUGUUUCCGCCCGGACCGGAAAAACAGAACACCGGAACUUCCGGUAGCGCCGUAAGAGGGAAAAUCAGGGAAUUCGAUGCACCUGUGCCUAGUUAGGGACAGCGGUUGGUGAUUGGAGGAUACGCUGGACAAGGCAGUACUUAAGGCCAAGUUAUUUCACAGUCUGGGAGCUCUUUCUGGUGUGUGUGAAGCACUGUGUCGUGCCCGUCUUGGUGCGCUGCUGGUGGCUGUCUAACUCUCUCUCUCCCUCAGGCUGGAAUUGUAUGAUUGUGAAGACAUCGCGAACCUUAAAGGUUGAGAAGUGAACGGAUUAUUCGGCGAAUUGAGACGACGUGAAAAAGGGGAUUGGAAGCGGCAUUGAUGUGAGUACUAAGAGCAAGCCGAAAGUGCCCUGUAUAUUGACCUGGCGUUGUGUAGAUCUCCCCAGGAGGAGGAGGGCGGCCCUACCCCUAAUAUAGCGUGGUGGGAGAGCCGAAGGAAUACUUAUUGAAGUAGUCACAACGAUGACAUCACUAGCUAGGCCGCAUAUUCCAUCGCCAGAUCCGAACCAAGCGAAGUGAAGGAAGACGGGUGUCCUUUUCGUACACUGAGUGUGGUGGGUGAGUCUUCGUGCUGUGAACACCUAUAAUUUUGACGUGGUGCUGUAUAUUGCUGUGGGUUGCUGUGUAUUGCCGUGUGUCCUGUCAGAUAAACCCCCGCCUUCACGCACUCCGUCGCGGGAGGAUAAGGAGACUGCUGGUUCUAGCCUAGUUCAGUACAGUAUAUGUUGUGAGCGUGCUUCAGAUCUCCGGAGAUAGCACAGUACGCUGUGUUCAGCCCAGAGGUGAGAGCCAUUCAAAGCAAACUAACUGUGCUUUGUGUCCAAUCUGAUACCUGCGGAGAGAAAAGGAAAGAGAGAGUGAGUAACACAAGGAGAAACAGAGGAAACCUGUACUUACAGUACGCUGUGUUCAGCCCAGAGGUGAGAGUCAUUCAAAGCAAACUAACUGUGCUAUUGUGCCCAAGUUGAUACCUGUGGAGAGAAAAGGAGAGAGAGUGAAUAACACGAGGAGGAAUAGAGCGAACCCUGUACUUACAGUACGUUGUGUCCAGCCCAGAGGUGAAAGCCAUCCAAAGCAGAGUAACUGUGUUUUGUGUCCAAGUUGACACCUGUAGAGAGGAGGAGAGAGAGUGGAUAACGCGAGGAGAAAUAGAGCGAAACCUGUACUUACAGUACGCUGUGUCCAGCCCAGAGGUGAGAGCCAUUCAAAGCAAACUAACUGUGCUAUUGUGCCCAAGUUGAUACCUGUGGAGAGAAAAGGAGAGAGAGUGGGUAACACGAGGAGAGACCGAGGAAACCUGUACUUACGUCGCUGCCUGUGGAGAAAGAGAAAGCGAGUGAGCACCCAAGGAACGAACUGUGUGAACCAGUACUUACUGUGAGCUGCAAUCAGCGAAGAGGUGAGAGCAAAACCAAGCCGAAUUAACUGUGCCUUUGCGUCCCAGCCGUUGCCUGUGGAGGAAGAGAAAGAGAGUGAGCACCCCGAGAACGAACUGUGUGAACCAGUACUUACCGUGAGUUGUAUUCAGCGAAGAGGAGGAAGAAGGAGGGCGCUACGGAUACCUAAGACUCUGGCCGGGCCCCGAGCCCCACGCCCCGGAUCCCCGUGGCCCCCUUGCUCCCUGACCUCUUCCCGGCCAUAGCCCAUCUGGAGGGCCGAGUCAGAGUUUAGUUUUAAUUGCCCUUUCCCUAUUCCCCAAGCUAUUUUUAAAUAUUUAAAUAAAGAUUGUUUUAUCACUUA